Pogoniulus pusillus (Red-fronted tinkerbird) is the source of this 1687-nucleotide RNA transcript. It is a transcript of the gene named heterogeneous nuclear ribonucleoprotein D, with no coding region annotated. The transcript is spliced from 10 exons. The record is from RefSeq and is a predicted model, not a curated record. Lineage: Eukaryota; Metazoa; Chordata; Aves; Piciformes; Lybiidae.
UGUGUCGGUGGCGGCGCCAUUAAAAAAAAGCGAGCGAGAGGAGGAGGGCUCCGGGCGCUGGUGCCGCGAGCGGGGCCCGGGCCUCGGCGGGAACGCGGCUAGCGGGGCCGGGGGCGGCGGGCGGUCGCCGGCCGGCCGGCGCGGGGCAGCCGCAGCGGCGCCAUGUCGGAGCAGCAGUUCGCCAUGGACUCGGCGGCGGGCGCCGGAGGCAGCUCGGCGGAGUCGGCGGAGCAGCCCGAGGGGCUGACGGGGGCUGGGGCGGGGGGCGCCGGCGGGGGAGGCGGCAGCGUCGAGUCGGAGGGAUCCAAGAUCGACGCCAGCAAGAACGAGGAAGACGAGGGUUGUGUGGAGGCCCCGCAGAUGACUACAUGGAAUCAAGCCUGUGGAGGGAAAAUGUUUAUUGGAGGCCUUAGCUGGGACACCACCAAGAAAGACCUGAAGGACUAUUUCUCUAAGUUUGGUGAAGUGGUAGACUGCACUCUGAAGUUAGAUCCCAUCACAGGGCGGUCGAGAGGCUUCGGCUUUGUGCUCUUCAAGGAGUCAGAGAGCGUGGAUAAGGUCAUGGACCAGAAAGAGCACAAGCUGAAUGGAAAGGUCAUUGAUCCCAAAAGAGCUAAAGCCAUGAAAACAAAAGAACCUGUGAAGAAGAUUUUUGUUGGAGGCUUAUCUCCAGACACACCCGAGGAGAAAAUAAGGGAAUACUUUGGAGGUUUUGGUGAGGUUGAAUCGAUAGAGCUGCCCAUGGACAACAAAACCAACAAGAGGCGUGGAUUUUGCUUCAUUACUUUCAAGGAGGAGGAACCAGUGAAGAAAAUAAUGGAAAAGAAAUACCACAACGUUGGGCUUAGUAAAUGUGAAAUAAAAGUAGCCAUGUCAAAGGAGCAGUACCAGCAGCAGCAGCAGUGGGGGAGCCGGGGAGGAUUUGCCGGAAGAGCUCGAGGCAGAGGUGGAGGCCCCAGUCAAAAUUGGAACCAGGGCUACAGCAACUACUGGAAUCAAGGGUAUGGGAACUAUGGCUACAACAGCCAAGGGUACGGAGGUUACGGAGGAUAUGACUACACUGGUUACAACAACUACUAUGGCUAUGGUGACUAUAGCAAUCAGCAGAGUGGUUACGGGAAAGUAUCUCGGCGAGGCGGCCAUCAAAACAGCUACAAACCAUACUAAAUUAUUCCAUUCGCAACUUACCCCCAAACAGCGGGAGCUUCCUUGCAGGCCCCUGUGUCGCGCUGACUUCACGAUUCUCACAGGCCCGCUCAAUGCGGACAGGGUACGAGAUGCUCACGCUCUCGAAUGCUGCCGUUUGGGUGGAGAGGCACAGUAUUUGCUCAGUUGGAAGAUUUCAUUUGGAGGUGGCACAUGCUGCCUGCUAAAAUAGCAGUUCAAUCUAAUUUGUGGGGUUGUUUGGGUUUUUUCUUUUGUAUCCAGGCCACGAAUUGGAAGUUUAAAAAAAAAAAAAAAAAAAGACAUUGGGUCCCUUUUGAAGUUCAGAAUUGAGUUUUUUCCUAAAGACAAAAAUUUGCUUUCACAGUCUCAUUUCUUAAUGGCUAUGCUUAAAAGAAUCAGAUCUGUUUUACGCCCCCUUCCUGAGUAUCGUAGCGCAAGUCUUGUGUUCCGAAGCCCGGUGUGACGGUGUCAUGAUGUAGUAGUGUCUGACUGGUUUUUUAAUAAAUCUUUUUUCUAUAAA